UACGAAGGGGGCUAGCGUUGCUCGGAAUUACUGGGCGUAGAGCGCACGUAGGCGGCUUUCUAAGUCGGGGGUGAAAUCCUGGAGCUCAACUCCAGAACUGCCUUCGAUACUGGAGAGCUCGAGUCCGGGAGAGGUGAGUGGAACUGGCGAGUGUAGAGGUGAAAUUCGAUAGAUAUUCGCAAGAACACCAGUGGCGAAGGCGGCUCACUGGCCCGGUACUGACGCUGAGGUGCGAAAGCGUGGGGAGCAAACAGGG
RNAcentral lists this ribosomal RNA (256 nucleotides) under uncultured bacterium. RNAcentral describes it as "partial 16S ribosomal RNA". It matches the Rfam family "Bacterial small subunit ribosomal RNA", at positions 524 to 777 of the family's 1533-position model. The record is from RNAcentral.